RNAcentral lists this ribosomal RNA (1066 nucleotides) under Polyporales sp. 2 SR-2012. Its description in RNAcentral is "eukaryotic LSU rRNA". The stretch from base 779 to 1066 matches the Rfam family "Eukaryotic large subunit ribosomal RNA", at positions 1 to 283 of the family's 3401-position model. Lineage: Eukaryota; Fungi; Basidiomycota; Agaricomycetes; Polyporales. The record is from RNAcentral.
UCUGCCCUUUGUACACACCGCCCGUCGCUACUACCGAUUGAAUGGCUUAGUGAGGUCUUGGGAUUGGCUUCGAGGAGCCGGCAACGGCACCUCGUCGCUGAGAACUUGAUCAAACUUGGUCAUUUAGAGGAAGUAAAAGUCGUAACAAGGUUUCCGUAGGUGAACCUGCGGAAGGAUCAUUAUCGAGUUUUGAAAAGGGUUGUAGCUGGCCUUCGGCAACAAGUCGGAGGCAUGUGCACGCCUGGCUCAUCCACUCUCAAACCCCUGUGCACCUUUUGUAGGCUUCGGCAGAGAGGACUGACUUCGGUCGGUUCAGGAAGCCUUGUGCCUAUGUCACACAUACAAACGCUUCAGUUUAGAAUGUAACGAAUCGUGCGCCUCGGUGCAACGAAAUAAAUACAACUUUCAGCAACGGAUCUCUUGGCUCUCGCAUCGAUGAAGAACGCAGCGAAAUGCGAUAAGUAAUGUGAAUUGCAGAAUUCAGUGAAUCAUCGAAUCUUUGAACGCACCUUGCGCUCCUUGGUAUUCCGAGGAGCAUGCCUGUUUGAGUGUCAUGAAAUUCUCAACCUUUGAAGCUUUUUUUUGAGCUCGCAAAGGCUUGGACUUGGAGGUCGUGUCGGCUCGUAACAAAGUCGACUCCUCUGAAAUGCAUUAGUGUGAAACCUUCGCAGGAUCGCCUUCGGUGUGAUAAUUGUCUACGCCGUCGGUCGUGAAAGUCGAAACAUACGUGUUCACGCUUCUAAUCGUCCGUCGAGGACAAACUUUUUUCUUGACCAUCUGACCUCAAAUCAGGUAGGACUACCCGCUGAACUUAAGCAUAUCAAUAAGCGGAGGAAAAGAAACUAACAAGGAUUCCCCUAGUAACUGCGAGUGAAGCGGGAAAAGCUCAAAUUUAAAAUCUGGUGGCCUUCGGUCAUCCGAGUUGUAGUCUGGAGAAGCGUCUUCCGCGCUGGACCGUGUACAAGUCUCUUGGACAGAGCGUCGUAGAGGGUGAGAAUCCCGUCUUUGACACGGACUGCCAGUGCUUUGUGAUGCGCUCUCAAGAGUCGAGUUGUUUGGGGAAUGC